UGGGGAAUUUUGGACAAUGGGCGCAAGCCUGAUCCAGCAAUGCCGCGUGCAGGAAGAAGGCCUUCGGGUUGUAAACUGCUUUUGUACGGAACGAAACGGUCCUGGUUAAUACCUGGGGCUAAUGACGGUACCGUAAGAAUAAGCACCGGCUAACUACGUGCCAGCAGCCGCGGUAAUACGUAGGGUGCGAGCGUUAAUCGGAAUUACUGGGCGUAAAGCGUGCGCAGGCGGUUAUAUAAGACAGAUGUGAAAUCCCCGGGCUCAACCUGGGAACUGCAUUUGUGACUGUAUAGCUAGAGUACGGCAGAGGGGGAUGGAAUUCCGCGUGUAGCAGUGAAAUGCGUAGAUAUGCGGAGGAACACCGAUGGCGAAGGCAAUCCCCUGGGCCUGUACUGACGCUCAUGCACGAAAGCGUGGGGAGCAAACAGGAUUAGAUACCCUCGUAGUCCCUGAGCGGGCUGGCAAGGCGCAU
RNAcentral lists this ribosomal RNA (472 nucleotides) under uncultured bacterium. Its description in RNAcentral is "bacterial SSU rRNA". It matches the Rfam family "Bacterial small subunit ribosomal RNA", at positions 355 to 825 of the family's 1533-position model. The record is from RNAcentral.